UACAGAGGUCUCAAGCGUUGUUCGGAUUCAUUGGGCGUAAAGGGUGCGUAGGCGGCUUGGUAAGUCGGGUGUGAAAGCCCCGGGCUCAGCCUGGGAAGGGCACUCGAAACUGCCGAGCUGGAGUGCCGGAGGGGAGAGUGGAAUUCCUGGUGUAGCGGUGAAAUGCGUAGAUAUCGGGAGGAACACCAGUGGCGAAGGCGACUACCUGGCCUGUUUCUUGACGCUGAGGCGCGAAAGCUAGGGGAGCAAACGGG
This 254-nucleotide ribosomal RNA is filed under the name uncultured bacterium. Its description in RNAcentral is "partial 16S ribosomal RNA". It matches the Rfam family "Bacterial small subunit ribosomal RNA", at positions 524 to 776 of the family's 1533-position model. The record is from RNAcentral.